This 488-nucleotide ribosomal RNA is filed under the name uncultured bacterium. Its description in RNAcentral is "partial 16S ribosomal RNA". It matches the Rfam family "Bacterial small subunit ribosomal RNA", at positions 28 to 507 of the family's 1533-position model. The record is from RNAcentral.
GAUGAACGCUAGCGGCAGGCCUAAUACAUGCAAGUCGGACGGGAUCCAUCGGUAGCUUGCUAUCCAUGGUGAGAGUGGCGCACGGGUGCGUAACGCGUGAGCAACCUGCCUCCAUCAGGGGGAUAGCCUCUCGAAAGAGAGAUUAACACCGCAUAACAUAUCAGACCGGCAUCGGUCGGAUAUCAAAUAUUUAUAGGAUGGAGAUGGGCUCGCGUGACAUUAGCUUGUUGGUGGGGUAACGGCCCACCAAGGCGACGAUGUCUAGGGGCUCUGAGAGGAGAAUCCCCCACACUGGUACUGGGACACGGACCAGACUCCUACGGGAGGCAGCAGUAAGGAAGAUUGGUCAAUGGGCGGAAGCCUGAACCAGCCAUGCCGCGUGCAGGAUGACUGCCCUAUGGGUUGUAAACUGCUUUUGUCCGGGAAUAAACCUCCUUACGUGUAGGGAGCUGAAUGUACCGGAAGAAUAAGGAUCGGCUAACUCCGUG